RNAcentral lists this ribosomal RNA (498 nucleotides) under uncultured bacterium. RNAcentral's name for it is "bacterial SSU rRNA". It matches the Rfam family "Bacterial small subunit ribosomal RNA", at positions 21 to 507 of the family's 1533-position model. The record is from RNAcentral.
GGCUCAGGAUGAACGCUAGCUACAGGCUUAACNCAUGCAAGUCGAGGGCAGCAGGGAUUUUAGCUUGCUAAAUCCGCUGGCGACCGGCGCACGGGUGCGUAACGCGUAUCCAACCUUCCCGUUACUCAGGGAUAGCCUUCCGAAAGGGAGAUUAAUACCUGAUGGUGUUUGAAUUCCGCAUGUUAUUCAAACUAAAGAUUUUAUCGGUAACGGAUGGGGAUGCGUGACAUUAGAUAGUAGGCGGGGUAACGGCCCACCUAGUCUACGAUGUCUAGGGGUUCUGAGAGGAAGGUCCCCCACACUGGAACUGAGACACGGUCCAGACUCCUACGGGAGGCAGCAGUGAGGAAUAUUGGUCAAUGGCCGGGAGGCUGAACCAGCCAAGUAGCGUGAAGGAUGAAGGUUCUAUGGAUUGUAAACUUCUUUUAUACGGGAAUAACACCAUCUACGUGUAGAUGUCUGCAUGUACCGUAUGAAUAAGCAUCGGCUAACUCCGUG